This 233-nucleotide ribosomal RNA is filed under the name uncultured bacterium. Its description in RNAcentral is "partial 16S ribosomal RNA". It matches the Rfam family "Bacterial small subunit ribosomal RNA", at positions 524 to 754 of the family's 1533-position model. The record is from RNAcentral.
UACGGAGGGUGCAAGCGUUGCUCGGAAUUAUUGGGCGUAAAGGGUAGGUAGGUGGUCUCAUUUGUCUGGGGUGAAAGCCUUGAGCUUAACUCGAGAAGUGCCUCAGAAACGGUGAGACUAGAGUUCUGGAGAGGGUCGUGGAAUUCCAGGUGUAGCGGUGAAAUGACGUAGAUAUACUGGAGGAAUACCGGUGGCGAAGGCGGCAUCCUGGACCGAGAUUGACGCUGAACGGC